RNAcentral lists this ribosomal RNA (433 nucleotides) under uncultured bacterium. RNAcentral describes it as "partial 16S ribosomal RNA". It matches the Rfam family "Bacterial small subunit ribosomal RNA", at positions 29 to 507 of the family's 1533-position model. The record is from RNAcentral.
AGCGAACGCUGGCGGCAGGCCUAACACAUGCAAGUCGAACGAACCUUUCGGGGUUAGUGGCGGACGGGCGAGUAACACGUGGGAACGUGCCUUUAGGUUCGGAAUAACUCAGGGAAACUUGUGCUAAUACCGAAUGUGCCCUUCGGGGGAAAGAUUUAUCGCCUUAGAGCGGCCCGCGUCUGAUUAGCUAGUUGGUUGAGGUAAUGGCCCACCAAGGCGACGAUCAGUAGCUGGUCUGAGAGGAUGAUCAGCCACAUUGGGACUGAGACACGGCCCAAACUCCUGCGGGAGGCAGCAGUGGGGAAUCUUGCGCAAUGGGCGAAAGCCUGACGCAGCCAUGCCGCGUGAAUGAUGAAGGUCUUAGGAUUGUAAAAUUCUUUCACCGGGGACGAUAAUGACGGUACCCGGAGAAGAAGCCCCGGCUAACUUCGUG